RNAcentral lists this ribosomal RNA (301 nucleotides) under uncultured bacterium. RNAcentral describes it as "partial 16S ribosomal RNA". It matches the Rfam family "Bacterial small subunit ribosomal RNA", at positions 509 to 808 of the family's 1533-position model. The record is from RNAcentral.
CAGUAGCCGCGGGAAUACGUAGGUCCCGAGCGUUGUCCGGAUUUAUUGGGCGUAAAGCGAGCGCAGGCGGUUAGAUAAGUCUGAAGUUAAAGACUGUGGCUUAACCGUAGUACGCUUUGGAAACUGUUUAACUUGAGUGCAAGAGGGGAGAGUGGAAUUCCAUGUGUAGCGGUGAAAUGCGUAGAUAUAUGGAGGAACACCGGUGGCGAAAGCGGCCCUCUGGCUUGUAACUGACGCUGAGGCUCGAAAGCGUGGGGAGCAAACAGGAUUAGAGACCCCCGUAGUCCCUGUCUCUUAUACA